UGUCCCAUGGUGUAAUGGUAGCACUGUAGUUUUUGGUACUGCCUGUCUAGGUUCGAAUCCUGGUGGGACAAC
This 72-nucleotide transfer RNA is filed under the name Bacteroidales bacterium. RNAcentral's name for it is "tRNA-Gln". It matches the Rfam family "tRNA". From Rfam's summary of the family: Transfer RNA (tRNA) molecules are approximately 80 nucleotides in length. Their secondary structure includes four short double-helical elements and three loops (D, anti-codon, and T loops). Further hydrogen bonds mediate the characteristic L-shaped molecular structure. tRNAs have two regions of fundamental functional importance: the anti-codon, which is responsible for specific mRNA codon recognition, and the 3' end, to which the tRNAs corresponding amino acid is attached (by aminoacyl-tRNA synthetases). tRNAs cope with the degeneracy of the genetic code in two manners: having more than one tRNA (with a specific anti-codon) for a particular amino acid; and 'wobble' base-pairing, i.e. permitting non-standard base-pairing at the 3rd anti-codon position. Lineage: Bacteria; Pseudomonadati; Bacteroidota; Bacteroidia; Bacteroidales. The record is from RNAcentral.